UGUGUGUUAGUGGAAGCGUCUGGAAAGGCGCGCGAUACAGGGUGACAGCCCCGUACACAAAAAUGCACAUGCUGUGAGCUCGAUGAGUAGGGCGGGACACGUGGUAUCCUGUCUGAAUAUGGGGGGACCAUCCUCCAAGGCUAAAUACUCCUGACUGACCGAUAGUGAACCAGUACCGUGAGGGAAAGGCGAAAAGAACCCCGGCGAGGGGAGUGAAAAAGAACCUGAAACCGUGUACGUACAAGCAGUGGGAGCCUCUUUUAUGGGGUGACUGCGUACCUUUUGUAUAAUGGGUCAGCGACUUAUAUUCUGUAGCAAGGUUAACCGAAUAGGGGAGCCGAAGGGAAACCGAGUCUUAACUGGGCGUUAAGUUGCAGGGUAUAGACCCGAAACCCGGUGAUCUAGCCAUGGGCAGGUUGAAGGUUGGGUAACACUAACUGGAGGACCGAACCGACUAAUGUUGAAAAAUUAGCGGAUGACUUGUGGCUGGGGGUGAAAGGCCAAUCAAACCGGGAGAUAGCUGGUUCUCCCCGAAAGCUAUUUAGGUAGCGCCUCGUGAAUUCAUCUCCGGGGGUAGAGCACUGUUUCGGCAAGGGGGUCAUCCCGACUUACCAACCCGAUGCAAACUGCGAAUACCGGAGAAUGUUAUCACGGGAGACACACGGCGGGUGCUAACGUCCGUCGUGAAGAGGGAAACAACCCAGACCGCCAGCUAAGGUCCCAAAGUCAUGGUUAAGUGGGAAACGAUGUGGGAAGGCCCAGACAGCCAGGAUGUUGGCUUAGAAGCAGCCAUCAUUUAAAGAAAGCGUAAUAGCUCACUGGUCGAGUCGGCCUGCGCGGAAGAUGUAACGGGGCUAAACCAUGCACCGAAGCUGCGGCAGCGACGCUUAUGCGUUGUUGGGUAGGGGAGCGUUCUGUAAGCCUGUGAAGGUGUGCUGUGAGGCAUGCUGGAGGUAUCAGAAGUGCGAAUGCUGACAUAAGUAACGAUAAAGCGGGUGAAAAGCCCGCUCGCCGGAAGACCAAGGGUUCCUGUCCAACGUUAAUCGGGGCAGGGUGAGUCGACCCCUAAGGCGAGGCCGAAAGGCGUAGUCGAUGGGAAACAGGUUAAUAUUCCUGUACUUGGUGUUACUGCGAAGGGGGGACGGAGAAGGCUAUGUUGGCCGGGCGACGGUUGUCCCGGUUUAAGCGUGUAGGCUGGUUUUCCAGGCAAAUCCGGAAAAUCAAGGCUGAGGCGUGAUGACGAGGCACUACGGUGCUGAAGCAACAAAUGCCCUGCUUCCAGGAAAAGCCUCUAAGCAUCAGGUAACAUCAAAUCGUACCCCAAACCGACACAGGUGGUCAGGUAGAGAAUACCAAGGCGCUUGAGAGAACUCGGGUGAAGGAACUAGGCAAAAUGGUGCCGUAACUUCGGGAGAAGGCACGCUGAUAUGUAGGUGAAGCGACUUGCUCGUGGAGCUGAAAUCAGUCGAAGAUACCAGCUGGCUGCAACUGUUUAUUAAAAACACAGCACUGUGCAAACACGAAAGUGGACGUAUACGGUGUGACGCCUGCCCGGUGCCGGAAGGUUAAUUGAUGGGGUUAGCGCAAGCGAAGCUCUUGAUCGAAGCCCCGGUAAACGGCGGCCGUAACUAUAACGGUCCUAAGGUAGCGAAAUUCCUUGUCGGGUAAGUUCCGACCUGCACGAAUGGCGUAAUGAUGGCCAGGCUGUCUCCACCCGAGACUCAGUGAAAUUGAACUCGCUGUGAAGAUGCAGUGUACCCGCGGCAAGACGGAAAGACCCCGUGAACCUUUACUAUAGCUUGACACUGAACAUUGAGCCUUGAUGUGUAGGAUAGGUGGGAGGCUUAGAAGUGUGGACGCCAGUCUGCAUGGAGCCGACCUUGAAAUACCACCCUUUAAUGUUUGAUGUUCUAACGUUGACCCGUAAUCCGGGUUGCGGACAGUGUCUGGUGGGUAGUUUGACUGGGGCGGUCUCCUCCUAAAGAGUAACGGAGGAGCACGAAGGUUGGCUAAUCCUGGUCGGACAUCAGGAGGUUAGUGCAAUGGCAUAAGCCAGCUUGACUGCGAGCGUGACGGCGCGAGCAGGUGCGAAAGCAGGUCAUAGUGAUCCGGUGGUUCUGAAUGGAAGGGCCAUCGCUCAACGGAUAAAAGGUACUCCGGGGAUAACAGGCUGAUACCGCCCAAGAGUUCAUAUCGACGGCGGUGUUUGGCACCUCGAUGUCGGCUCAUCACAUCCUGGGGCUGAAGUAGGUCCCAAGGGUAUGGCUGUUCGCCAUUUAAAGUGGUACGCGAGCUGGGUUUAGAACGUCGUGAGACAGUUCGGUCCCUAUCUGCCGUGGGCGCUGGAGAACUGAGGGGGGCUGCUCCUAGUACGAGAGGACCGGAGUGGACGCAUCACUGGUGUUCGGGUUGUCAUGCCAAUGGCACUGCCCGGUAGCUAAAUGCGGAAGAGAUA
This 2455-nucleotide ribosomal RNA is filed under the name Escherichia coli. RNAcentral describes it as "partial 23S ribosomal RNA". It matches the Rfam family "Bacterial large subunit ribosomal RNA", at positions 323 to 2766 of the family's 2925-position model. Lineage: Bacteria; Pseudomonadati; Pseudomonadota; Gammaproteobacteria; Enterobacterales; Enterobacteriaceae. The record is from RNAcentral.